Long non-coding RNA from Homo sapiens (human), 426 nucleotides. Lineage: Eukaryota; Metazoa; Chordata; Mammalia; Primates; Hominidae. The record is from Ensembl.
GGCUUGUAGAUGGAUAACUGAGUUCUACAGGUAGGGAUUUGUCUAGGUCUUAAGCUUGAGGUAACCAAAAGAGGAUUAGACUUGGAUUUUCAAGCCUGUGUAAAGCAUGCACUCAUACCCUGUCCUCAGUGGGAUUUGGACAUCUUUGCUACUGGUUGCUGGGGGGAAAAGAUGCUGUGGGUGGAAAAUGGUAUAUUAGCCAAGUGACUCUCAAUGGACCAUUCAUAUAUUUUCUACUCCCUAGUAAAUUUAUCUUAACAUAUUAAGAAAACAAAAUGGUUCGUAAGUGGUUGUGCUUUUAAAAUUUAUGGAUUUAGCAACAUUUUACAGAUUUCACUUGUAUGACUGAGUUUUUGCUAGUUAGAUGAAUUGUUAAAAAUCUUAAAGAAACGAAUGUAUCCUAUAGUAAUAUAAUUUGAAAACAAA